This 497-nucleotide ribosomal RNA is filed under the name uncultured bacterium. RNAcentral's name for it is "partial 16S ribosomal RNA". It matches the Rfam family "Bacterial small subunit ribosomal RNA", at positions 28 to 507 of the family's 1533-position model. The record is from RNAcentral.
GAUGAACGCUGGCGGCGUGCCUAACACAUGCAAGUCGAGCGGACGGACGAUAAGCUUGUUUCGCUGAUGUUAGCGGCGGACGUGUGAGUAACACGUGGAUCACCUACCUAUAAGACUGGGAUAAUCUCGUGAAACCGGAUCUAAUACCAGAUAAUAUUUUGAACCGCAGGGUUCAAAAGAGAAUGACGGCCUUUCUGUCACUACUAGCUGGAUCCGCGCUGCAUUGGCUAGUGGGUAAGGUAACGGCCUACCAAGGCAACGAUGCGUAGCCGAACUGAGAGGGUGGUCGGCCACACUGGAACGGGGACACGGACCAGAGUCCUACGGGAGGCAGCAGUAGGGAAUCUGCGGCAAUGGGCGAAAGCCUGACGCAGCGAGGCCGCGUGAGUGAUGAAGGUCUUCGGAUCGUAAAACUCUGUUAUUGGGGAAGAACAGCUGUGUAAGUAAACGUAGCGAGCGUGACGGUACCUAAUAAGAAAGCAACGGCUAACUACGUG